RNAcentral lists this ribosomal RNA (353 nucleotides) under Eubacteriales bacterium. RNAcentral describes it as "bacterial SSU rRNA". It matches the Rfam family "Bacterial small subunit ribosomal RNA", at positions 1 to 338 of the family's 1533-position model. The record is from RNAcentral. Lineage: Bacteria; Bacillati; Bacillota; Clostridia; Eubacteriales.
UAUUGAGAGAGUUUGAUCCUGGCUCAGGAUGAACGCUGGCGGCGUGCCUAACACAUGCAAGUCGAACGGAGCUGAUUGAACGGAGAUUCGUCGAAGAUCAUGAAAGCUUAGUGGCGGACGGGUGAGUAACGCGUGGGUAACCUGCCUCAUAGAGGGGGAUAGCAGAUGGAAACGACUGAUAAUACCCCAUAAGCCCACAGUACCGCAUGGUACAGAGGGAAAAGAUCUAUCGCUAUGAGAUGGACCCGCGUUUGAUUAGUUAGUUGGCGGUGUAACGGACCACCAAGACGACGAUCAAUAGCCGGACUGAGAGGUUGAACGGCCACAUUGGGACUGAGACACGGCCCAAACUC